GCAACACACUAUGUAAGGUGCCACCACAGGAUCGAUAUCUAAUAUUCCCAAAUCCCAAAGGCCAUACAACAGAGCGAAAAGCUAGCUACAAGAAGGUGUCCAGGUUCAAUGCACUUCGAUCGAUCCACAUCGUCCAAAGUUGAGAGACCCAGAUGAUGGCCAGUUUCAAAGCAGGUGAGACCAUCAGAGCUGCUGAGCCUCUGAAAGGGCAUGGGGAUGGAGAUGCUUGGGGUAUAAGUAUCUUUGCAGAAGCGCGAGGAUGAUGGCGACGCGGCGGGAGCUUUUCUUCUUCCUCCUCAUGCGGUAGGAGGAAGAGGAGAGGCCGUCGGCGUCUCGCAUGGAGUUCCCCCAUUCACACUUCUUGGCUGUCUAGUUCCUCGUCGUUCGUUCAGGGCAUCUCGUCUCUUUUGGACAGUCCGUGUGUUUCUUUCGUCAUGUGUUUUGUUUGGACGACCUCCGGAAAUGCAUGCAUGCUUGUGUUUUUCUCGAUGCGAUGAUGAUUGUAAUUGCGGUGUCUAAACUA
Triticum dicoccoides is the source of this 523-nucleotide long non-coding RNA. RefSeq lists it as uncharacterized. Lineage: Eukaryota; Viridiplantae; Streptophyta; Magnoliopsida; Poales; Poaceae. The record is from RefSeq and is a predicted model, not a curated record. The transcript is spliced from 2 exons.